CCAUCACCACCCUCAGUUAAGAGAGAUGAUGCAGAAUCCAGAAGUACUUCGUCAGUUAACUUCACCUCAGAUGAUGCACCAAAUGAUGUCUUUACAGCAGCUUCUACCUCAGCUUAACCAACAGCAAUCUGCUUUGGACCCUACCCAGACAGGGCUUCUACA
Helianthus annuus (common sunflower) is the source of this 162-nucleotide long non-coding RNA. RefSeq lists it as uncharacterized. Lineage: Eukaryota; Viridiplantae; Streptophyta; Magnoliopsida; Asterales; Asteraceae. The transcript is spliced from 3 exons. The record is from RefSeq and is a predicted model, not a curated record.